Molecule: ribosomal RNA, 500 nt
Filed under: uncultured bacterium
Lineage: Bacteria
Description: partial 16S ribosomal RNA
Rfam family: Bacterial small subunit ribosomal RNA
Source: RNAcentral
AUUGAACGCUGGCGGAAUGCUUUACACAUGCAAGUCGAACGGCAGCACGGACUUCGGUCUGGUGGCGAGUGGCGAACGGGUGAGUAAUGUAUCGGAACGCGCCCAGUCGUGGGGGAUAACGUAGUGAAAAUUACGCUAAUACCGCAUACGAUCUAUGGAUGAAAGCGGGGGAUCGCAAGACCUCGCGCGAUUGGAGCGGCCGAUAUCAGAUUAGGUAGUUGGUGGGGUAAAGGCCCACCAAGCCAACGAUCUGUAGCUGGUCUGAGAGGACGACCAGCAAUACUGGAACUGAGACACGGUCCUGACUCCUACGGGAGGCAGCAGUGGGGAAUUUUGGACAAUGGGCGAAAGCCUGAUCCAGCCAUUCCGCGUGCAGGAUGAAGGCCCUCGGGUUGUAAACUGCUUUUGUACAGAACGAAAAGGUUUCUACUAAUACUAGGAGCUCAUGACGGUACUGUAAGAAUAAGCACCGGCUAACUACGUGCCAGCAGCCGCGGUAA